This 493-nucleotide ribosomal RNA is filed under the name uncultured bacterium. RNAcentral's name for it is "bacterial SSU rRNA". It matches the Rfam family "Bacterial small subunit ribosomal RNA", at positions 899 to 1397 of the family's 1533-position model. The record is from RNAcentral.
ACUCAAAUGAAUUGACGGGAGCCCGCACAAGCGGUGGAGUAUGUUGUUUAAUUCGAAGAUACGCGAAAAACCUUACCAGGUCUUGACAUCCCCUGCAAAGCUAUGGAGACAUAGUGGAGGUUAACAGGGAGACAGGUGGUGCAUGGUUGUCGUCAGCUCGUGUCGUGAGAUGUUGGGUUAAGUCCCGCAACGAGCGCAACCCUUAUCGUUAGUUACCAUCAUUAAGUUGGGGACUCUAGCGAGACUGCCGGUGACAAACCGGAGGAAGGUGGGGAUGACGUCAAAUCAUCAUGCCCUUUAUGGCCUGGGCUACAAACGUACUACAAUGGCUAUGACAAAGAGAAGCGAAGUCGCGAGGCGGAGCAAAACUCACAAAGAUAGUCUCAGUUCGGAUUGAAGGCUGCAACUCGCCUUCAUGAAGUCGGAAUCGCUAGUAAUCGCAAAUCAGCAUGUUGCGGUGAAUACGUUCUCGGGCUUUGUACACACCGCCCGU